Molecule: ribosomal RNA, 723 nt
Filed under: Triticum aestivum (bread wheat)
Lineage: Eukaryota; Viridiplantae; Streptophyta; Magnoliopsida; Poales; Poaceae
Description: partial small subunit ribosomal RNA
Source: RNAcentral
AUGUGCGACCAUGUGGUCGGCGCCACCACCACCUACGCCCUAUGGCACAAGAUCAAAGACUUCUUUCUCGCCAAUCGCGAUGCUCGCUUCAUGAUCCUCAAUCGCCAAUACCGAAACCUCAAACCGGGUGAUCUCUCUGUGUCCGAGUACGCACGCCUUCUGAAGCUCCUCACCGACGCUCUCGCCGACAUUGAUCGUGCCGUUACCGAGCUGGAUCUCACCACCCAAUUUCUUCAUGGCCUCGACAAGCGGCUCGACACCAUCUGCGUCGUCCUCGGUGACCAGGGCCUCCCCUUCGACACCGUGCUCUCCCGCGUUGUUCUCGCAGAGGAGUCGCAGGCGCAGCGCGCGGCUGAGGAAGGCGCCUCUGCGUUCGCCAUGGCGGGCGGCAGCUCUUCAGGCGCUGGCUCCUUGGCCGGCCCCUCUGGUGGUCGCGGCAACGGCGAUCGCCCCUCUGAUCGCACCCCGGACGCCACCCAUCCGUCGGCCCCCUCCUCUGGCCGCGGGCGCGGUGACCGCUCUGGUGACGGCGGUGACCGUGGACGCGGGCGCGGUCGAGGACGCGGUGACCACUCUGGACGCGGUGACCCUUCUCCCCCUUCACGGGGUACUUCGCCCCCUACGAGAUGGCGCUCCCGUCGCCACGCUCUGGUUGGAUCCCGCCGAACGCCGCCGGUGUUCUUGGACCCCGCCCCGGCGCCCAUGCUCAGGCACCCAAGGUAA